Molecule: ribosomal RNA, 424 nt
Filed under: uncultured bacterium
Lineage: Bacteria
Description: bacterial SSU rRNA
Rfam family: Bacterial small subunit ribosomal RNA
Source: RNAcentral
AACGCGAAGAACCUUACCCAGGCUUGACAUCUUGGGAAUUUUUCCGAAAGGAAAGAGUGCCGCAAGGAACCCAAUGACAGGUGUUGCAUGGCCGUCGUCAGCUCGUGUCGUGAGACGUUAGGUUAAGUCCUAUAACGAGCGCAACCCUUAUAGUUAGUUGAAUUGUCUAGCUAGACUGCCCUGGUAACAGGGAGGAAGGAGGGGUCGAAGUCAGGUCCGUAUUACCCUUACGCCUGGGGCUACAAACACGCUACAAUGGCCGGUACAAAGGGCUGCCAAGUCGCGAGACGGAGCAAAUCCCAUCAAAGCCGGUCCCAGUUCAGAUUGCAGGCUGAAACUCGCCUGCAUGAAGUCGGAAUCGCUAGUAAUGGUAGGUCAGCACACUACCGUGAAUACGUUCCCGGGCCUUGUACACACCGAUAGC